GUGGGGAAUAUUGGGCAAUGGGCGAAAGCCUGACCCAGCAACGCCGCGUGAAGGAAGAAGGUUUUCGGAUCGUAAACUUCUAUCCUUGGUGAAGAUAAUGACGGUAGCCAAGAAGGAAGCCCCGGCUAACUACGUGCCAGCAGCCGCGGUAAUACGUAGGGGGCAAGCGUUGUCCGGAAUGAUUGGGCGUAAAGGGCGCGUAGGCGGCCCGGUAAGUCUGAAGUGAAAGUCCUGCUUUUAAGGUGGGAAUUGCUUUGGAUACUGUCGGGCUUGAGUGCAGGAGGGGUAAGCGGAAUUCCCGGUGUAGCGGUGAAAUGCGUAGAGAUCGGGAGGAACACCAGUGGCGAAGGCGGCUUACUGGACUGUAACUGACGCUGAGGCGCGAAAGUGUGGGGAGCAAACAGGAUUAGAUACCCCGGUAGUCC
This 425-nucleotide ribosomal RNA is filed under the name uncultured bacterium. RNAcentral's name for it is "partial 16S ribosomal RNA". It matches the Rfam family "Bacterial small subunit ribosomal RNA", at positions 354 to 796 of the family's 1533-position model. The record is from RNAcentral.